Molecule: non-coding RNA, 69 nt
Filed under: uncultured Megasphaera sp.
Lineage: Bacteria; Bacillati; Bacillota; Negativicutes; Veillonellales; Veillonellaceae
Description: ZMP/ZTP riboswitch
Rfam family: ZMP/ZTP riboswitch aptamer (pfl RNA motif)
About the family: Previously known as pfl RNA.
Source: RNAcentral
GUCAUGUGACUGACGGAAGUGGAGUAUACCACAGGGAGCAUGAUGUGAAUAAGCCGGCCGUCUGGGCAA